Long non-coding RNA from Solanum lycopersicum (tomato), 3610 nucleotides. RefSeq lists it as uncharacterized. NCBI's taxonomy places the organism in Eukaryota, Viridiplantae, Streptophyta, Magnoliopsida, Solanales, Solanaceae. The record is from RefSeq and is a predicted model, not a curated record.
UCUUCAUCUCAUCACUCUACCUUGUUUGUCACUGAAACCAAUCAUCAAGGGAGUUGUGAAUCCCUCGGUUAGAUCUACUACUAGUGAGUGCAGAGUUUGGUGUAAAUGUAACUCUUCAUGCUAAGCAAGUUCUACUGUUGCGUUGAAGCUCAACUCUAGCCUUCAAAAUGUGCAGAUCCACUAUCCACAUAUGCUAUGACCAAAAUUAAGGGUCUAAGUUUCAGCUCUAUCUUGUUGAAGUUUUAUCUCCCUACAAAGUCUCAAUGGAUUGAACCCCAUUCAGGAUUAAUACCAUUAUUUAAGGCAUUCUUUGGACGAUUCUACCACAAUGAAAUUAGAGAAAAUCGAUGUUGCAUCCUUUUCUAGGUUUCUACAGUUUCACCUUGUUGAUGGCGAUUUUUAGCUGAAACUAGAAUUUUUAUUUGGUCCUAAAUGGACACCCUAAUCUCUCACCAUGUUUAAGUACAAAAAUCUGUGGAUGCACAUACCUCUGUUUGCUCUGUUAAUUAUGUAGAUGCCUCCUUAUGUAUGGUGUACCAUAUUUGGCUAGAUUAAAUAUCUUCUUCUAUGUGCUAUGAAUUUUUUGAAAUUGGUUAAUCUAAAUUCACCUACAAAGGAUAAAACUAAAUUAAUAAGAAAAUAUACAAGCGUAUUUCCUUUUUUAAGGGAAUGUUUACUCUUGUUAAACAUCUCUUCUCAAUCUCCUAUUGAUACUAAUCUCGUAUGCCACACUCCAUGACCCAUUCCAUUCUCCCUCCGACAUAUGCACCACAACUAAAGGGUAAGUCUGAAUAAUGACAAUUGCAAUUUCAUGCUCAAUAGAUUAAUUAAGAGUCUCCCUUGUAGCUCUAGGUUCCGCUACUAUGUUGGUUGUAUCAUAAUUCUGAAACCUUUAGGUACUACCAGAUUACCACUAUGAUUUAUGAUACAAAAUUCUGCUGAAUCCAUUGUUGCAUUACCGUAAAUUAGGAGGAUGAGGCUUCCAUCUUACAAUUUUAAAAGAGAAUUGAGGUUUGUAGUAUUCCAAUUCUGAGAGAAUACAAGGCCAAGAGUUGCUGCUUCAUUUCCCUUUUAAUCUCACGAGAAUAAAUCUUAAAAUUGUAUCAUUAAUACCCCAUAGCACUCUAAAUUCUUAAAAGGAACCUCCACCAAUAAUAGGAUUCAUUCGGUUCCACGGAAACUAUAAAAUAAUGUAAGGAUAGCUUGAAAAACUACCUUCACUCUAUAAAUGCCUUAUACUGCCUGCCACAACCUUAUGGACUGCUGCAAGUUUAGAAUAGGCCCCACAAUUCCCACCAUCUGUGAUUUAAUACUAACCCUACCCCAUUCAGCAGCAUGUGUUCUAGAAAUGGGAACCUCCUUUCCAUUGAACAAGGGCAUGUAUUUGCUUUCUAAAAUACUUCAUCCGUAUAAAUUUAAAUCAUAAUGUAGUUUCAAUUGUGGAAUAGCUGUUAAGUAUUUUUUUAGUAUUAGCUUGAAUAAGGAAAUAUUUUUAAGCACUUAUCAUAACUUGUGAUUUUUUUGGCUUAUAAGAAAAGAGAUAUAAUCUUAUACAAAUAGGCUCUUAGUAUUACCUCAUUCACUACACUAAUCUAGCAAGAGAAAAAAACUUUAAUAUCAAUAUGCUAUACAUAAUUCAGAAGUAUAAUGUGUUUAAUUUUAAGAACUUUAAAAUUUAACUAAUUAAAUUUAAAUUAUAAAUAUAAUUUGGGAAACAUUAAUAGAUUAAUUAUUGCUAGAAACACCCAAAAUGAGAGUUUCAAGUCCCAUAUAAGAUAAAGUAGGAAAUAUAAGUUAAAAAGUUAAAUUUAGAGAAAAGAAAAGAACAAAAUGGUCUGAGCAAAAUCUAUGAAGGCUUACAUAAAUAGGAAAUAAGAAGUAGUAUCAGUUUAUUUUGAGCUUACACAGGGGAUUUAGUUUCUCAAGCCUUCAUAUUUUUGGAUGAAGGUUAGAAAUUCAAUUAGUAGUAAAUCAGUAAUAGUAAUAUUUCCCAAUGUAAGAAAUUGUUGAUGCAAUUUUAGUUAGUUGCAACAUAAAUUUCUUAGUUACUACAUUCUGAUUUCUGUAUGAUUUAUUAAAAUAUAUAUUCUUUUAUUUGAUGUUUCAAGUUCUUAUUUGCCUGCCUUAUUUAUACUAGUUUCUCUUUUAAUGUAGCAACUUAUAAUGAUCCUAUUUUGUUUGGUUGAAAUUAUAUAUUUUGUUAUUAACAUCUAUGAUAGUAUAUUUUUCUAAUUUAAUACUGCUUUGAGUGUGAUUUAGUCACGAGAGUCUUGUAUUGGACUUUGUAAUCAAAAGCAUCAAUGGGAUAAGAAUAGUUGCAUGUAAGUAAGAAUCUAUAAAGCCUAAUACUUGCAACUUCAACUUCAUCAUUAAAAAAAAAGUAAAAAAAUUAAUUCAUCAUUAAUUUUAUACAGUGUUUUUUGUUGUCCCUUAUUUACUAUUUCUUUUAUUUCAUAUGAGAAAAAAUCAAUUCUGAAUUGGUGAUUUUCCUUUGCCAUUGAAAAUAGUAAGCAAUUAUGAUGUUUUCUUUUAAUAUGUAAAAUAUUUUUUUUAUAACGUUCAAGUUAAAUUUCUUAAAAUUUCAAAAAAUUGAAAAAUAACAAAAAAUAUUUCUAAUUUUCUUUCCAUUUCAUUUAACUCAUAAAAAGUUUAAAACAACUUCAGUUAAUAUCUUUUAUCGAAUACAAUUGCAUGCAAGGCAAUUGUAUUAAAAAUUUGCUCACUUUUUUCAAUAGAAGAGGAAAAUCACCAAUUAAAAAUUGGUUUUUAGGUCGGAUGAAAUAAGAGAAACAACAUAUAAGGGACAACAAAUAAUAAUAUAUCAAAUUGGUGAUGAAGUUGAAGUUACAAGUCAAGUAUUAGGCUUCAUAGGUUGUUACUUGCAUGCAACUAUUUCAUAUCCUAUUGGCGCUUUUCAUUACAAAGUACAAUUCAAGACUCUGGUGAUUGAUGAUGAAACAUAUUCAAUACAAGACUUUCAAAGGACAAUUUGAAUCGGAAAGUAUUUUGUCAUCAUAUACUUAGAGUUCAAAUAUUUGGCGAUACAAAUAAGAAUGAAAUUUGUAAAAAAAAAUUAUGUUGUGAAAAACUCUUUAACACAAGAAUUUGUGGAUGGUUGAAAUUGUGUAAAUAUAAAAGAAUGGUCAUUCUAAUUUACCUCUAUUGAGACUAGAAGGGAAAAAAAAGAGAGAAUUGUAGUUCUCUUAACGACUUAGUAUAAAAAGUCAAAACCUAAAAUAAAUUGUCCCCUAAAUUUAAUUAUUCAUAUUGUUUUUCUUUAACCUGUAUAAACUUUGCAAGAGGAAUAAUCAUAUUGAUUCAACAGAACAAAACUCCUCAAACCGCUGAUAUGAAGAGUUAUGCGACCCUUAUCAUGGUCACCCUUUCCAUUCAAUAGCUAUAAUGGUGAAGCGCUUUUCAGUGUUGUAUAAUUUGAUUCAUGCUUUACUUUGAAUUGAUGAAGAAGACUUCGAUUUUUAUUGGUUGUAUGAGCACUGUCAACAACAACUCAAAAAGUUAUAUGUACAAAUUCUUUAUAUUUCUUUUUUUUUCAUCUGUAUUGUUAUUAUUAAAUUCCAUAAAAUGAUAUGUAUGUUGCUUUUUUUGUUUA